RNAcentral lists this ribosomal RNA (445 nucleotides) under uncultured bacterium. RNAcentral describes it as "bacterial SSU rRNA". It matches the Rfam family "Bacterial small subunit ribosomal RNA", at positions 354 to 796 of the family's 1533-position model. The record is from RNAcentral.
GUAGGGAAUAUUGGGCAAUGGAUGCAAGUCUGACCCAGCCAUCCCGCGUGCCGGAAGAAGGCCCUCAGGGUUGUAAACGGCUUUUGACGGUGAAGAAUCGACAGGAUGCGUCCUGUUUUGACGGUAGCCGUUGAAUAAGCACCGGCUAACUCCGUGCCAGCAGCCGCGGUAAUACGGAGGGUGCGAGCGUUGUCCGGAUUUAUUGGGUUUACAGGGUGCGUAGGCUGGAAGGUCAGUCAGCGGUGAAAAGCUGUCGCUUAACGAUAGUCUUGCCGCAGAUACUUCCUUUCGUGGAUGAGGAGGAGGCCACUGGAACGGAUGGUGUAGCGGUGAAAUGCAUAGAUAUCAUCCAGAACACCGAUUGCGAAGGCAGGUGGCUGUACCUUAAUCGACGCUGAUGCACGAAAGCAUGGGGAGCAAACAGGAUUAGAUACCCGGGUAGUCC